Molecule: unclassified non-coding RNA, 370 nt
Filed under: Hevea brasiliensis (rubber tree)
Lineage: Eukaryota; Viridiplantae; Streptophyta; Magnoliopsida; Malpighiales; Euphorbiaceae
Source: RNAcentral
AUCACUUUCAUACACUUGAAAUAUAGAAAAACGAAAACGAAAACUUCCGUUCUUCCAAUCAUGGCCAAACCUAAAGGAAGAGCAAGGAAGGGUUUUGGUUUAUUCAAGGGAGCUUUGAUUACUUUGCUUGUGUGGAUAAGCUAGAGAACCAACAAUUGUUGGUCUCCACUCUCCAGAUUUGAUAUUGGAUUUGAUUCUACGCUUAAAGGGUAAAUUUUCUAAACUUUACUUUGUUAAAUUUAGGAUUUUGUUUUCUAAUGGCAAUUAGGUAUGUUAGCAAUAGAAACAUAAUUUGUUAUGACUAAAAUUAUGUGUUUCUAUGUGUUUAUGCAACAGUAUAAAUUAUUUAUAAGUUGCAUGAAACCCUGGG